UGCUCUGCUGUCCUCUGCUGUUAGCUGAUGCUCAGAGAAGCGCUCGCGCAGUGGGCGACUGCAGUUCCUGAGACCGAAUCAAACGGAACGGUAACCACGGCUCAAAUGUGACGAUGGGGAAACGCAGGAUACCAAAUUACGGAUAAAUGUGUAGGUAAUUUUCGGUCAAUAUUUUAUAAAUAGCCAAACGAAAAGAAGGUAUGACGAUGAAGAUGCUGAUGAUACGCCAGGAAUCGCGAGACCGUUGAUCGCUCACAUCAGAUGCUGAUAAUGAUCGCGCGACCUGCGUGAUCUCCUCCUGCUGGAGCUUCCUGGUUUUGCAUCACCUUAUCUGAGUCCCAGACAACCUGAAAGAAUGAUUGAGGAGGGAAGUAAAAGCAGCAAGUCUAUGGUGGAGAAGAGACAGCUCUUCAUGGAGAUGAGGGCACAAAACUUUGAUGUGAUUCGUCUUUCAACAUAUAGGACGGCAUGCAAGCUACGAUUUGUUCAAAAAAGGUGCAACCUUCACCUGGUGGACGUGUGGAACAUGAUUGAAGCAUUCCGUGACAAUGGGCUGAGCACGUUAGACCACAAUGCAGAGAUAAAUGUGUCACGCCUGGAGACCAUUUUGUCCUCCAUCUUCUACCAACUCAACAAGCGGCUGCCCACCACUCACCAGAUAAAUGUGGAGCAGUCCAUCGGCCUGCUGCUAAACUUCAUCGUGGCCACUUAUGACAGUGAAGGCCACGGGAAACUAACAGUGUUUGCUAUGAAGGCCAUGCUAGCUACCAUGUGUGGUGGUAAAAUACUGGACAAAUUACGUUAUAUAUUUUCCCAGAUAUCAGACUCCAAUGGGGUGAUGGUCUUUGCCAAGUUUGACCAGUUCUUGAGGGAGGUGCUGAAGCUCCCCACUGCAGUGUUUGAGGGCCCUUCGUUUGGCUACACCGAGCACUCUGUGAGAACAUGCUUCCCUCAGCAGAAGAAGAUCUUGCUGAAUACAUUUUUGGACGUGUUGAUGGCAGAUCCGCCCCCGCAGUACCUCGUAUGGCUACCUCUCAUGCACCGACUUGCUAAUGUAGAGAAUGUCUUCCAUCCAGUUGAAUGUUCGUACUGCCGGAGUGAGAGCAUGAUGGGUUUCCGGUACCGCUGCCAACAGUGCCAUGGCUACCAGCUUUGUCAAAGCUGUUUCUGGCGUGGUCAUGCCAGCGGUCCCCAUAGCAACCAGCACCAGAUGAAGGAACAUUCCUCAUGGAAGUCUCCAGCAAAGAAGCUCAGCCAUGCCAUCAGUAAGUCUCUGGGCUGUAUGCCGAUAGGAGAGCCCCCUCACCCUGUUUUCCCAGAGGCAGCUGAAAGACCUCAGGACCUCGCACACACUACUCAGCUGAGUCCAGUAGCCACCAGCAUGAAUGAUACCAUACUCAUUUCUUCAGGCACACCCACGCCUUCUAAAAGUAGCACUCUUGAGAGUCCCAGCAGACUGGAUGAAGAGCAUCGUCUUAUCGCUCGAUACGCUGCACGUCUGGCGGCGGAGGCCAGCAACUCUACUCAAUGCCCUCCAACAGAUCUGAGUUUCAACUUCGAUGCUAAUAAGCAACAGAGGCAGCUCAUCGCAGAAUUAGAGAACAAAAAUAGAGAGAUUCUGCAGGAAAUCCAGCGUCUACGUCUAGAACAUGAGCAGGCUUCUCAACCCACCCCUGAGAAAGCCCAGCAGAACCCCACUCUGCUGGCAGAACUACGACUGCUACGUUUUGGAAUGCCCAAUUCCCACUACUUAGUAGGUCCUCGUGGUGGUGCGGUUACUCACCUCAAUCCGGGUGGCGGAGGACAAGUCUCUGUUGUCUCCACUUCUGAGAUAGUCAAUCCAUGUAUCUUAUCACGUUGCUUGCUGUGCAUGACAUCGUGGAGACUCACAGCAUGUGGAGGCUCAUGCUAAUCUCCGCGAUCCAUGCACAACUCACCACGCGCCCCAUUGAGAGCGAGAACCACUUAAUCGUGACCAUGAGGAGGUUACCCCAUGUGACUCUACCCUCCCUAGCAACCGGGCCAAUUUGGUUGCUUAGGAGACCUGGCAGGAGUCACUCAGCACACCCUGGAUUCGAACUCGCGACUCUAGGGGUGGUAGUCAGCGUCAAUACUCGCUGAGCUACUCAGGCCCCCCUACAAAUACCAUUGUACAAAUACAAUAAUUUGUGGUUAUUGUAGUAGGUAAAACCAUGGUUAAUUUUGUGGUUACAAAAUUAUUUCAGAAAAUAAAUCCUCUACCACACGUUUAAGGUGCCCCAUAGCUUGCAGUAAAAACAAUCAUAAUUUAGUUUUACAUGACUGAUAUCUCUCUGGUUUUUGUUUUUAUUUUAAUGUAUCUUUAAGAUUAGUGUAUGGAAAUGACCUCCGUUUUGAUUGGGUAACCUCACUGAACUGUGUAUUGACACAGUUCAAACUGUGGUUCAUCUGGGCUGCUGGGCAGGGAAAGUAUAUGUACAGUUUAGAUUUCAUAAAUUGUCUCGGCAGACUUGUGAGGGUGCUUUGCGUUGUGAACGUUACAUUAUGUCCACAUACAGCAGAACAAGAAUCUCCUUUAUUUCAAAAGAGCAGAGCAAACCCUGUUUUCCAGGAUAUGUCCCUUUUAAGUAGUAUAUUUGGCAGUCAUUGAUUUGCAUGAUUCAUAUGGUGGUUAAUUUGUUAAUUUGCCAGUGAAUGCAUAUAAUAUUCUUCAGGCACAGAAAGGAUGAGCUGGAGAGGCGCAUGUCAGCACUUCAGGAAAGCAGGAGAGAACUGAUGGUACAACUAGAAGGACUUAUGAGGCUACUUAAGGAUGAAGAGCAGAAACAGGCAGUUCAGACGGGGGGUUCACCCCACUCCUCU
Myxocyprinus asiaticus (Chinese sucker) is the source of this 2841-nucleotide RNA transcript. It is a transcript of the gene named dystrobrevin beta-like, with no coding region annotated. The record is from RefSeq and is a predicted model, not a curated record. The transcript is spliced from 17 exons. NCBI's taxonomy places the organism in Eukaryota, Metazoa, Chordata, Actinopteri, Cypriniformes, Catostomidae.